This is a long non-coding RNA of Lactuca sativa (garden lettuce), 286 nucleotides long. RefSeq lists it as uncharacterized. The record is from RefSeq and is a predicted model, not a curated record. NCBI's taxonomy places the organism in Eukaryota, Viridiplantae, Streptophyta, Magnoliopsida, Asterales, Asteraceae.
CUCCGAGUCUACUAUAUACUAAUUGCUCCAUUGUAGUCGCUAAUCUUAACACAUAACCUGAUAACCACUCACUAGGAUGAUCCCAAACUGAUGAUGCUAGCACCUUCAUAGAUGAUAGAGACAAAUCAGAAAUACUAAGAUUUUUGAGGCAUUGGUGUAGAUAAAGGAGAGUUCUGCUGUUCAAAUAAGCAACAUUCCUUGUGUAAGUAUUCUAUUCAGAGAACCAAUCGAAUCACUAUACCAAAUGUAAGAUUAUUUUGUUGGCUAUAAAUCUAAGAUUAAAUCA